ACCGAAGAAGAAAGCUCAAACAAGGCACGAUUUGGAGUAUUUUCACGAUAAAACCCUUUUUAUCAUUUUUAGAGACCAUCUCUGCAACUCCGUAGACACCAUCUCUCUGUCCUUCUCGCUCUAUAGAAACCCUAACUUUCUCUUUCUAAAAACCCAGAAAAAAACCGUGACUUUUUACCAGAAGCCGUCCAAGAAACCCGCACUCUUUUUCAUUCGAAAUCCGUACAAGAAACCUUCAAUUUUUCUUCUUGUAGGUCCAUUUCCAGUAACCCUAACUUGUAUCUGUAUGAAAGUCGCCGAUUCUUAUCUUCUUUCUCUCGAGAUCAACAAUGGCAGGUAUCAAAACGAUGCCGUUAAUGACUAGCAACAAUGCGAACAUCGGGGUCCCGCAGAAGACCAGAGAAGAAACCUACCAGAAGAAGAGCCAACUGGAGCACAUCCUGCUCCGACCCGAUACCCGCAUUGGAUCGAUCGAGAAGAACAUCCAAAACCUCUGGGUUACGAGGACGAGUAGAUGGUGCAUCGCCAGGUGACCUAUGUUCCGGCCUUACAAGAUCUUCGAUGAAAUCUUAGUCAAUGCCGCUGAUAACAAGCAGAGGGGAUCCCACCAUGGAUUCCGUGAGGGUGGUGAUUGAUGUGGAAACAAUUUAAUCAGUGUUUAUAAUAAUGGCGAUGGGUUUCCUGUGGAGAUUCAUAAGUAGGAGGGUGUGUAUGUACCGGAGCUGGUUUUCGGGCACUUGUUAACUAGCAGUAACUAUGAGGUCACGGUGAAGAAGACCACCGGAGGGAGAAAUGGGUAUGGAGCCAAGCUCGCAAAUAUUUUCUUCACAGAGUCUGUUAUUGAGACUGCUGAUGGGAAUCGGCAGAAGAAAUAUAAGCAGGUAAUUGAUUUUAUGUUUCUUGCAGUUCCCUUGUUAAACUAUAACUUGGGUUCAUGCUUUUAGGAUUUUUUAGAUGGCUAUUGGUGUAUGAUUCAAAACAGCUGAUUUUGAUUCCUUUGGUUUCUGCUCAAUUUUUAUAGGGUGGUGGUUGUUUGUCAUUGCAACUGCUAUUUAAAAAAUAUUAGUUAGAAGUAUAAAAAUUUAUUUAAAUUAAAAUUUGACAUUUUUCAUAGGCAGUGUUAAAUUGAAGUUUACUUUUAUGAUAUAAAUUAUAAAUUGAAGUUUAAGAAUGGUGUUAACAUAACUUUCAAAGUUCAAGGGUGGGGGGGUGAAAAUUCGCCCUUUUACUGCUACUGUUACAAGUAGGUGACAUAACAGCGCGAUUGUUGGCCAGAGGUUCUGAUCAGAUGUGCUCAGUCUUUUCUGUGCUCAAAUCAGGAGGACAGGGAAACAAUUCAAAUUUUCACUUUCCAUCCCCCAAUAAAAUAAGAUAAAUUCGGCAGAGCUUCAUCUACUUCUUGUUUGCAAAACGCUGUCGCAGAAAGAAAUGUGUGCGCGCACCGUUUGAGUUGCAGUUGCAUACGGAGGAAAAGACGAUGAGGCUGAUCAUGGGCAUGGAAAUGGUUGCGUAGAUAGUCAUUUUGGGGACUCUGGUUCUUUUUGUAUCAAUUCACUAACAGAGAUUUUUAAAUGUUAUCAUUUCUAAUAUAAUUUUUAGCUAACAUCAAUAAAAUGAAUCUUAUUUAGUGCUUUUAUGACAUAAAAUAACAAAUGAGUUUGAGUAUUGUCCAUGUGGCACCUACGUGAACAACCAAAUGGCAUCACAUCAACAUUACAUAAUAAUUUUUUUUAUUUUUAAAAAAUAAAAUAUAUAAAUACAAGGUUAAUAUAUAUAUAUAUAUAUGUACACACACAUAUGCAUACGUGUGUGCGCGAAAGAGAGAGUAACAAAUAUCAAUCUUAUUCUUUUAAGCACAUAAAUAUCACUAGUGAAAACAAUUGUGCCUUUAUUGGUUGUGUUACAUCCUCAAAAUGGUCGCUGCCGUUUGUUACGAUCCAUCGUAAGAAAAUUUGUGUCCCACCUUAAUAACUAGUCUAGUCAGAGCCGUUCACUAUAAUCAUGCGGCAUAGGUGGUGACUCCGGAAUAGCAGCCUUUGUUGAGGCUGGAUUAAGCUAGCGCAAAGCCAGCUUGCGUAGGCACGGGGCCUACGGAGUGUGGUGGAAUGUUACGAUCGUGUGGUGUAUGUAUGAACUUAGACUCUCCAACUAGCGUUGGGGGUGAGAUUUUCCUAGUAUCACCGUUGUACAAUGAACUUAUACCAGACGACUAGACGAGAAGGAAAGUUACGAGACUGAGGAGAAAGAGGAAAGUAAAGACGAAGAUGAAGAGGGAGAAGAAGGCAGUUACGUUGCCGAUUUCCAUCCUCUGGAACUGAUUGGUCCUGCUUUUUGCCGGGUCAUGGAGAUGCUAAAAAGGAAGCUCAAACAAGCCAAUCUAUUGGAAAUGUGGGGAUUAAAGGAGAUCAAACCCAAGCCCCUUGUUCACCUCCACCUCCAUCCAAGAGAUUGAAGAUUGUGUCUCAAAUUAACCCUAGAGAAUCAAUUUCCCCAAAUCAAAGAACUCCACAAUAACGCCUCCUAACAAGAAUCAGCCUUGUCUUUGCCUCUCCUCUGUUAUGUACUAUGGUGGUCUUACCAAGGGAUGGUCUCACAGUCCUAUCUAUUGCACCCAUCUAACUGCUAGUCUCCUCACGCUCUGCCUCUGUUAAUUCAUUGUAAGAAUCAUAAAUCUUGUUGUUUUUACUUUAUCUUUAUAUUCAUUCUUUGGACCUUAAUGUUGAGUAUGUUAUUGAAGGAGUUAGGAUUAACGUUAUUUGUAAGUAAUCACUGCCUAGGUGCUGUUUUGACUCUUCGUCUCACAACUAGACUUUGCUGUUUGCACAUUGGAGAUUUCAGGGCUUCUAAUAGCAUGUUUGGAAGGAAAUUUUUGGAGGUACCCUUCCAAGGAAGAUGUGUCAUGUUGUUAGAGUUACUAAGGACUUCCUCAAGAGGCAACCCGAAGCCCUUGUUGUUGUUGGGGCAUAGAGCAUUGGAAAAGAAUUUGUUUGUCUUGCCAUUUCCAAGGUCUUAGGGGUAUGUUUGUUUGCUGUUUCACUGAAGUAUUUUACCUCUUGUAGCGAAUAAAGUUGUUUAUUCCUUGAGGUAGAUGUGGAGGCUUCUUUUUCCUCUCAAUAGACCACAUGUUAUGGCAUGAAUAUUGUACCAUUAUGAUAACUGGGAGAUCAUGAAUGAUUCAUCUACUUGUUCUCUUUCUUAUAAACUAAGGUCACUUAGAUUUUCA
Molecule: long non-coding RNA, 3223 nt
Organism: Hevea brasiliensis (rubber tree)
Lineage: Eukaryota; Viridiplantae; Streptophyta; Magnoliopsida; Malpighiales; Euphorbiaceae
Exons: 2
Source: RefSeq, a predicted model, not a curated record